Molecule: ribosomal RNA, 173 nt
Filed under: uncultured bacterium
Lineage: Bacteria
Description: partial 16S ribosomal RNA
Rfam family: Bacterial small subunit ribosomal RNA
Source: RNAcentral
UCUACGGGAGGCAGCAGUGGGGAAUAUUGCACAAUGGAGGGAACUCUGAUGCAGCGACGCCGCGUGAGUGAAGAAGGUUUUCGGAUCGUAAAACUCUGUCCUUGGUGAAGAAAAAAAUGACGGUAGCCAAGGAGGAAGCCCCGGCUAACUACGUGCCAGCAGCCGCGGUAAUA